UACGGAAGGCAGCAGUGGGGAAUAUUGCACAAUGGGCGCAAGCCUGAUGCAGCCAUGCCGCGUGUAUGAAAAAGGCCUUCGGGUUGUAAAGUACUUUCAGUCGUGAGGAAGGUGUUAAGGUUAAUAACCUUAGCAAUUGACGUUAGCGACAGAAGAAGCACCGGCUAACUCCGUGCCAGCAGCCGCGGUAAUACGGAGGGUGCGAGCGUUAAUCGGAAUUACUGGGCGUAAAGGGCACGCAGGCGGUUAAUUAAGUUGGAUGUGAAAUCCCCGGGCUUAACCUGGGAAUGGCAUUCAAGACUGGUUAGCUAGAGUCUUGUAGAGGGGGUAGAAUUCCAUGUGUAGCGGUGAAAUGCGUAGAGAUGUGGAGGAAUACCGGUGGGCGAAGGCGGCCCCUGGGACAAAGGACUGACGCUCAUGUGCGAAAGCGUGGGGAGCAAACAGGGAUUAGAUACC
This 456-nucleotide ribosomal RNA is filed under the name uncultured bacterium. RNAcentral describes it as "bacterial SSU rRNA". It matches the Rfam family "Bacterial small subunit ribosomal RNA", at positions 340 to 786 of the family's 1533-position model. The record is from RNAcentral.